Long non-coding RNA from Eucalyptus grandis, 932 nucleotides. RefSeq lists it as uncharacterized. The record is from RefSeq and is a predicted model, not a curated record. Lineage: Eukaryota; Viridiplantae; Streptophyta; Magnoliopsida; Myrtales; Myrtaceae. The transcript is spliced from 2 exons.
UUAGGCUAAGUAUGUUCUCUGAGACAGCACCACUAAUCCAUGACGACACAAGUUGAUCUGUCUUAAUCCAAUCAUUGUAAUCAGGGUUUAUAAUUUCAGUACCCUGUUCUUCUCCUUCAAUUUGCAAUGAUUUGGCAGGUGGUGGACUUUCUCCACUAACAAAACCGAACAGAUCUUGACUUCUUAAAAACCUAUGAAACUAACCUUGCCAAAGAAGAAAUUUUUCUUCGGCUAAUUUGAUGGUAACAAAGUUUGAGAUGUUAACAUGAAUAGGGAAUGGAUACUUUUGCACCCUUGCUGCCAUUUUCACACUCAGAUUCUUGAGGAUUCUUUAUUACUGAAACUAAUCCCCUACUGAUUUUGCAGAACAGAGAACAGAGUUGUGAUUCUAUUACCGAUGAUGAUAAGAACUUGAUUUAGAAGAAGAAACAACUCACUGUUCUUCUUUAGUAUUGAAAACCGAUUUCCAGAUCCUCAAAUGACAGUACAUACCACCAUCAACACCAGAAGACAGCAAUCGAUGAAGCUUCAAUCUGCUGUAGAUUCAUCAUCUUUUCAUUGAGAAGAAGGUGGAUUCAUACUCUCAGGAAGACUGCUCUGAUACCAUGAAGGAUUUUGAUGAACAGAACAAUGAAUGGAAGCAAGAAGGAAAGAUGAUUCAGAGAGUAAAAAUCGUCUAUAUUCAACUGAGUGCUCUGUUUUCAAUGAAUAAGAAGCUUGCACGACGGAUGAAGCCAUUCCUAUUGAAGUCGUCUGGUACGGUCUCUCCCUUGUGCACUUCAAGCUGCCAUCACUAUCUUUGCAUAGUUCACUCUGAUUGAUGUACCAUACGAAUUCUGUGCCACAUCUUGAUUUUUUUAUUUUUUUUUUGCCUUUUUCUGGCCCUGCUCGUUAAACUGUGCAUAAAGAAAAAGUUCUUUUUGAGCGUGAAA